AGCAAAGCCCCCCCAUUGCAAUGAUCACUAUGAAGUAUAUGCCUCAACUUGCCACAUCAAAAUUAACACAGUACCAAUUUCGAUCACCAUUAGAGCUCCAAUCCAUUAACACAAAGUCACCAAUACAGGUAGAGAUAGAGAUCUGAGAGAAGAUAGAGGAGAUUCCAUUUCGUGUUUGUUUCCAGUAAGGAUAGAAGCAGGCACAGACAGACACACAACUAGAGAGAGAGAGAGAGAGAGAGAGA
This 245-nucleotide unclassified non-coding RNA is filed under the name Hevea brasiliensis (rubber tree). Lineage: Eukaryota; Viridiplantae; Streptophyta; Magnoliopsida; Malpighiales; Euphorbiaceae. The record is from RNAcentral.